RNAcentral lists this non-coding RNA (23 nucleotides) under Mus musculus (house mouse). The record is from RNAcentral. Lineage: Eukaryota; Metazoa; Chordata; Mammalia; Rodentia; Muridae.
UACAGAUCCAUGGACCUACCCAA